CUCAAUCCUCACUUUCCUUCGGUUCUUCCACUCGUAUGAUUAUUUUCUUAUUAAUUUUUAUUUUCAAGUGCCAGUUCUUGAUUAUGUGGACGGUAAAGAUAAAAAGAGUUUGAACUCUCAACUGGUUUGUUUGAUUAUGGAAAAUUAAAAUCUUGAUUGAUGUUGUGCAGCUUAUGGAGGGCCACGUAGGACCGGCGGAGCAAGUUCUUUGGCCGCUCUCGGUGUUCUCCGGCGUCCUCAUGUGUAAAAUUGUAUAUGAAGUGACACAAAGUCAGCAUGCUAUACUCAAAGGGCUAUAACAACUUAACCAGAUUAGAAAAGAUCAAGUGGAACAAUCGAGGUGUCUCUACCUUCCAUGCUGUUGUAGCCGUGGUAACUUCACUUUGUCUAUUGGCAGUUUCAGACCUUUUCGAAAAUGGUUCAAAGUCAGAGCUUGUAGUAAACAGAAAAUCACUUCUAUCAGAUGCCACCUUAGGGGUAGCAUGCUGAUUUUAUGUGUCACUUCAUAUACCUACAUUAUUGAGAGAACUAUCCAGAUCCAUUUUAUGGAUUUUCAGUUACCAAAAACAAGGAAAAAA
This is a long non-coding RNA of Zingiber officinale, 578 nucleotides long. RefSeq lists it as uncharacterized. The transcript has 3 exons. The record is from RefSeq and is a predicted model, not a curated record. Lineage: Eukaryota; Viridiplantae; Streptophyta; Magnoliopsida; Zingiberales; Zingiberaceae.